UCGAGAGGCUUCGGCAAUGGGGGAAACCCUGACCGAGCGACGCCGCGUGGGGGAUGAAGGCCCUUGGGUUGUAAACCCCUUUUGUUCGGAAAGAAAUGCGAUCAGGUUAAUAAUCUGGUCGUUUGACGGUACCGGACGAAUAAGCUCCGGCUAACUCCGUGCCAGCAGCCGCGGUAACACGGGGGGAGCAAGCGUUGUUCGGAAUCACUGGGCGUAAAGGGCGUGUAGGCGGUCAGGUAAGUGGGACGUGAAAUGCCUCGGCUCACCCGAGGAGCGGCGUCUCAUACUGCUUGGCUUGAGUACGGGAGAGGAUGUGGGAAUUCCUGGUGUAGCGGUGAAAUGCGUAGAUAUCAGGAGGAACACCGGUGGCGAAGGCGCACAUCUGGCCCGAUACUGACGCUGAGGCGCGAAAGCUAGGGGAGCAAACGGGAUUAGAUACCCCCGUAGUCCCUGAGCGGGCUGGCAAGGCGCAU
RNAcentral lists this ribosomal RNA (473 nucleotides) under uncultured bacterium. Its description in RNAcentral is "bacterial SSU rRNA". It matches the Rfam family "Bacterial small subunit ribosomal RNA", at positions 355 to 825 of the family's 1533-position model. The record is from RNAcentral.